AUGUACAACGCGUCCACUGCGGUUCUGAGCGCUGCGUCCGCGCCCACCUGACAGCGGCUCGCUACGUUUUGUUAGCC
This 77-nucleotide small RNA is filed under the name Xanthomonas oryzae. RNAcentral describes it as "sX9 sRNA". It matches the Rfam family "Xanthomonas sRNA sX9". RNAcentral also lists the same sequence under 1 other name. The record is from RNAcentral. Lineage: Bacteria; Pseudomonadati; Pseudomonadota; Gammaproteobacteria; Lysobacterales; Lysobacteraceae.